UCGGUUCCGUCAGGCCCAAGAUCCGUGGC
RNAcentral lists this small RNA (29 nucleotides) under Bombyx mori (domestic silkworm). RNAcentral describes it as "ovarian small RNA-29066". The record is from RNAcentral. Lineage: Eukaryota; Metazoa; Arthropoda; Insecta; Lepidoptera; Bombycidae.